RNAcentral lists this ribosomal RNA (2902 nucleotides) under Escherichia coli TX1999. RNAcentral's name for it is "bacterial LSU rRNA". It matches the Rfam family "Bacterial large subunit ribosomal RNA". Lineage: Bacteria; Pseudomonadati; Pseudomonadota; Gammaproteobacteria; Enterobacterales; Enterobacteriaceae. The record is from RNAcentral.
UUAAGCGACUAAGCGUACACGGUGGAUGCCCUGGCAGUCAGAGGCGAUGAAGGACGUGCUAAUCUGCGAUAAGCGUCGGUAAGGUGAUAUGAACCGUUAUAACCGGCGAUUUCCGAAUGGGGAAACCCAGUGUGAUUCGUCACACUAUCAUUAACUGAAUCCAUAGGUUAAUGAGGCGAACCGGGGGAACUGAAACAUCUAAGUACCCCGAGGAAAAGAAAUCAACCGAGAUUCCCCCAGUAGCGGCGAGCGAACGGGGAGCAGCCCAGAGCCUGAAUCAGUGUGUGUGUUAGUGGAAGCGUCUGGAAAGGCGCGCGAUACAGGGUGACAGCCCCGUACACAAAAAUGCACAUAUUGUGAGCUCGAUGAGUAGGGCGGGACACGUGGUAUCCUGUCUGAAUAUGGGGGGACCAUCCUCCAAGGCUAAAUACUCCUGACUGACCGAUAGUGAACCAGUACCGUGAGGGAAAGGCGAAAAGAACCCCGGCGAGGGGAGUGAAAAAGAACCUGAAACCGUGUACGUACAAGCAGUGGGAGCACGCUUAGGCGUGUGACUGCGUACCUUUUGUAUAAUGGGUCAGCGACUUAUAUUCUGUAGCAAGGUUAACCGAAUAGGGGAGCCGAAGGGAAACCGAGUCUUAACUGGGCGUUAAGUUGCAGGGUAUAGACCCGAAACCCGGUGAUCUAGCCAUGGGCAGGUUGAAGGUUGGGUAACACUAACUGGAGGACCGAACCGACUAAUGUUGAAAAAUUAGCGGAUGACUUGUGGCUGGGGGUGAAAGGCCAAUCAAACCGGGAGAUAGCUGGUUCUCCCCGAAAGCUAUUUAGGUAGCGCCUCGUGAAUUCAUCUCCGGGGGUAGAGCACUGUUUCGGCAAGGGGGUCAUCCCGACUUACCAACCCGAUGCAAACUGCGAAUACCGGAGAAUGUUAUCACGGGAGACACACGGCGGGUGCUAACGUCCGUCGUGAAGAGGGAAACAACCCAGACCGCCAGCUAAGGUCCCAAAGUCAUGGUUAAGUGGGAAACGAUGUGGGAAGGCCCAGACAGCCAGGAUGUUGGCUUAGAAGCAGCCAUCAUUUAAAGAAAGCGUAAUAGCUCACUGGUCGAGUCGGCCUGCGCGGAAGAUGUAACGGGGCUAAACCAUGCACCGAAGCUGCGGCAGCGACGCUUAUGCGUUGUUGGGUAGGGGAGCGUUCUGUAAGCCUGUGAAGGUGUGCUGUGAGGCAUGCUGGAGGUAUCAGAAGUGCGAAUGCUGACAUAAGUAACGAUAAAGCGGGUGAAAAGCCCGCUCGCCGGAAGACCAAGGGUUCCUGUCCAACGUUAAUCGGGGCAGGGUGAGUCGACCCCUAAGGCGAGGCCGAAAGGCGUAGUCGAUGGGAAACAGGUUAAUAUUCCUGUACUUGGUGUUACUGCGAAGGGGGGACGGAGAAGGCUAUGUUGGCCGGGCGACGGUUGUCCCGGUUUAAGCGUGUAGGCUGGUUUUCCAGGCAAAUCCGGAAAAUCAAGGCUGAGGCGUGAUGACGAGGCACUACGGUGCUGAAGCAACAAAUGCCCUGCUUCCAGGAAAAGCCUCUAAGCAUCAGGUAACAUCAAAUCGUACCCCAAACCGACACAGGUGGUCAGGUAGAGAAUACCAAGGCGCUUGAGAGAACUCGGGUGAAGGAACUAGGCAAAAUGGUGCCGUAACUUCGGGAGAAGGCACGCUGAUAUGUAGGUGAAGUCCCUCGCGGAUGGAGCUGAAAUCAGUCGAAGAUACCAGCUGGCUGCAACUGUUUAUUAAAAACACAGCACUGUGCAAACACGAAAGUGGACGUAUACGGUGUGACGCCUGCCCGGUGCCGGAAGGUUAAUUGAUGGGGUCAGCGCAAGCGAAGCUCUUGAUCGAAGCCCCGGUAAACGGCGGCCGUAACUAUAACGGUCCUAAGGUAGCGAAAUUCCUUGUCGGGUAAGUUCCGACCUGCACGAAUGGCGUAAUGAUGGCCAGGCUGUCUCCACCCGAGACUCAGUGAAAUUGAACUCGCUGUGAAGAUGCAGUGUACCCGCGGCAAGACGGAAAGACCCCGUGAACCUUUACUAUAGCUUGACACUGAACAUUGAGCCUUGAUGUGUAGGAUAGGUGGGAGGCUUAGAAGUGUGGACGCCAGUCUGCAUGGAGCCGACCUUGAAAUACCACCCUUUAAUGUUUGAUGUUCUAACGUUGACCCGUAAUCCGGGUUGCGGACAGUGUCUGGUGGGUAGUUUGACUGGGGCGGUCUCCUCCUAAAGAGUAACGGAGGAGCACGAAGGUUGGCUAAUCCUGGUCGGACAUCAGGAGGUUAGUGCAAUGGCAUAAGCCAGCUUGACUGCGAGCGUGACGGCGCGAGCAGGUGCGAAAGCAGGUCAUAGUGAUCCGGUGGUUCUGAAUGGAAGGGCCAUCGCUCAACGGAUAAAAGGUACUCCGGGGAUAACAGGCUGAUACCGCCCAGGAGUUCAUAUCGACGGCGGUGUUUGGCACCUCGAUGUCGGCUCAUCACAUCCUGGGGCUGAAGUAGGUCCCAAGGGUAUGGCUGUUCGCCAUUUAAAGUGGUACGCGAGCUGGGUUUAGAACGUCGUGAGACAGUUCGGUCCCUAUCUGCCGUGGGCGCUGGAGAACUGAGGGGGGCUGCUCCUAGUACGAGAGGACCGGAGUGGACGCAUCACUGGUGUUCGGGUUGUCAUGCCAAUGGCACUGCCCGGUAGCUAAAUGCGGAAGAGAUAAGUGCUGAAAGCAUCUAAGCACGAAACUUGCCCCGAGAUGAGUUCUCCCUGACUCCUUGAGAGUCCUGAAGGAACGUUGAAGACGACGACGUUGAUAGGCCGGGUGUGUAAGCGCAGCGAUGCGUUGAGCUAACCGGUACUAAUGAACCGUGAGGCUUAACCUU